Long non-coding RNA from Gastrolobium bilobum, 326 nucleotides. RefSeq lists it as uncharacterized. The record is from RefSeq and is a predicted model, not a curated record. The transcript has 3 exons. NCBI's taxonomy places the organism in Eukaryota, Viridiplantae, Streptophyta, Magnoliopsida, Fabales, Fabaceae.
AAGAAGGACAUAGCUUAAGAUAUAAAGCGCAGUGCAGCCACCCCGACUUCCGUCCUAUCCUAAUAAGAGACCUGGAGAACAGAUUGAAGUACAAGGACGACAACAACAGGGAAGCACAACAAAAACACCACCAUAGGAAUCGUUGAGGUCCGCCACUGAACCAGACCCUCAGAAGUCAGAAAUGUUCAAAGGAUAUUAUUGGUGUUGGUCCUGAGUGUGACGUGAAUCUUGAAGAAGGGUCUUAUCAUGAAUUUGAGGACAAGGCUUUCACUAGGCGCUUCCAAGCCUUGAUUGCUGUUUUUUUUUUGUGGUUGUCUUCUCUGUGU